Long non-coding RNA from Trematomus bernacchii (emerald rockcod), 282 nucleotides. RefSeq lists it as uncharacterized. The record is from RefSeq and is a predicted model, not a curated record. The transcript has 4 exons. Lineage: Eukaryota; Metazoa; Chordata; Actinopteri; Perciformes; Nototheniidae.
ACUGGAGACCCUCAGGAUCAAUGACGAGCCGAUCAGAGCCACGAUCCAGAAGACCUGUGACAGGAAGUGAAGACACACAGAAAGGUCCCAGAGGGUUACCUGUUGACCCGUGUCCAUCUCAAAAUGGUCCACAGGCAUCCCAUAAUCCUGUGUUUGGGGGGGAGACGUUCUCCCUGUGAUCAAAGCACUGGGUUCAUCACCCCGGGUUCAUUUAAAGGUCUCCUAUCAUGCAAAAUGCACUUUUUGAUGUCUUUUAUACAUAAAUAUGUGUCCCCGGUGUGU